RNAcentral lists this ribosomal RNA (514 nucleotides) under uncultured bacterium. RNAcentral describes it as "partial 16S ribosomal RNA". It matches the Rfam family "Bacterial small subunit ribosomal RNA", at positions 29 to 523 of the family's 1533-position model. The record is from RNAcentral.
AGCGAACGCUGGCGGCGUGCCUAACACAUGCAAGUCGAACGUGAACGGGAGCAAUCCCAAGUAAAGUGGCGUACGGGUGUGUAACACGUAGGUAAUCUACCUAAGAGUCUGGAAUAACCUGCCGAAAGGCGGGCUAAUACUGGAUAGAGCGAGGACUUUUUAAAGAAGUCUUCGGGAAAGGGAGGAAGCAAUUCCCUUCGCUCUUGGAUGAGCCUGCGUCCCAUCAGCUAGUUGGUAAGGUAACGGCUUACCAAGGCAAUGACGGGUAGCUGGUCUGAGAGGAUGAUCAGCCACACUGGAACUGAAACACGGUCCAGACUCCUACGGGAGGCAGCAGUGGGGAAUCUUGCGCAAUGGACGAAAGUCUGACGCAGCCACGCCGCGUGAGUGAAGAAGGCCUUCGGGUCGUAAAGCUCUGUCGGGCGAGACGAAAACUCUAUGGGUUAAUAGCCCAUGGACUUGACGGUACCGCCAAAGGAAGCACCGGCUAACUUCGUGCCAGCCGCCGCGGUAA